Non-coding RNA from Mycena filopes, 88 nucleotides. NCBI's taxonomy places the organism in Eukaryota, Fungi, Basidiomycota, Agaricomycetes, Agaricales, Mycenaceae. The record is from the annotation of a GenBank genome assembly.
GACCCAGUGGCGGAUGGUCCGCGCCCGCAGUAACUAGUCAACUGCUGCUCCUUAGCGGGAGGCGCUCGUUCGAAUCGAGUCUGGGUCA